ACGGCGGUGCUGCUGGGAUCAACGGUGUGUCUCUUACAUUAAUCGGUUUCAUUACUCAACUAACGAAUAAUAUAGUACAAUAAUCGCGGGUGACAAAAUAUGCAGCUUUAAUAUAACCGACGAAACGAUUUCCAGCUCCACUUCUCCGGCAAACUCGAGCACCGCAACACCGGCGAAAUCCCAUAUCGUCUUGGAAAGCUUUGAGUCUCGGCCUUUCUGCAUCCUCUGUUCCUUAGCUUCGGAAUGUAAGAUCGUGGCUCUAUCUAUUCACAGGAUCCAUCAAGACACAAAUUGUUCAUAUUCAUCGAUACAUCAUAUUGCUUCCCGUAAAGUCAGAUCGAGAUGUUUACUAGAUGUAACAAACUCUGCUGCAGAAUGAAAAUGGAAUCAUGUAAGCUGUUCAUGGCUACUCUUCAUGAUCGAUGUGUCUCCAAGGAGUUGAAAAACCAGAGGCUUCUGCCCAAAAUGAUUUCUCAGUCAAGACAAAUGUAAAUGGAAGAAGCAUCGUCAGAUACCAUAUUUACAUUCUGAAAAAAAAAGAGACCAGAGAUGGAUGACAAACAUAUGCGUCUUUGAAGGAUUCUCACUUGCUUGCCGCUAGAAAGCAUUCAGAAGAUGAUGGAAUCAGUUCCAUGGAUCGGCUUCCUCAUAGCUACGAAAGGGAAGAAGGUGAAAGAACGAGUCAGACAAUGAGAAGGAUACCAUGCAGAGAAGCCACUAAAGAUCCAAAUUUCUGCAACACUAAAACAACAGCUCAUUGUCUGGGAGAAUAUUACGCACCAGGACAAGGUACAACCAGGGUCUGCUGCUGAUGGAAGUUCACAAGCUAAUGACAUUGAUGGGAAGAAGAAAAUUAAGUGGGCAAGAAGUUGCUACUAAGACCUGCAAUUAUCCACCUAUCAACUCCAUGGCUGCUUCACAACACUAACGUGUAGCUCAAUGCAUACAAUGCUUUAUAGUUUACAAGAAUACAAUAGGAAGAGCAACGAUGAUCCUAAAGUAUCAAUACAAAGUUACGGAAAUGAGAUCGAUGUUUGGAGUGAAGGGAUUAUUUUAAUCAUCUUGCUUUGUGGUGUGCCUCUUUUUUGGGCUGCUAAUAUAUUGCUAAUUGUUUCGUCCAUUUAAUUAUGUAAUUGAUAUUUUUUAUGAUUUUGUUAUAUUUACAAUUAGGGAUGUGAAUUGUUGAGCGAAGCUUGAAGAGGUUUAUUCAUUUUAAAUUUUCAAUAUUUUCCUUUGUUA
Brassica rapa (field mustard) is the source of this 1239-nucleotide long non-coding RNA. RefSeq lists it as uncharacterized. The record is from RefSeq and is a predicted model, not a curated record. Lineage: Eukaryota; Viridiplantae; Streptophyta; Magnoliopsida; Brassicales; Brassicaceae.